UACAGAGGUGGCAAGCGUUGUUCGGAAUUACUGGGCGUAAAGGGCGAGUAGGCGGCCAUCUAAGUCAGACGUGAAAUCCCCCGGCUUAACCUGGGAACUGCGUCUGAUACUGGACGGCUUGAGUUUGGGAGAGGGAUGCAGAAUUCCAGGUGUAGCGGUGAAAUGCGUAGAUAUCGUGAGGAACACCAGAGGCGAAGGCGGCUACCUGGACAAUUGCUGACGCUCAGGCACGAAAGCGUGGGGAGCAAAAGGG
This 253-nucleotide ribosomal RNA is filed under the name uncultured bacterium. RNAcentral's name for it is "partial 16S ribosomal RNA". It matches the Rfam family "Bacterial small subunit ribosomal RNA", at positions 524 to 776 of the family's 1533-position model. The record is from RNAcentral.